AUAACAAUAAAAUAUCAAAAUUUCACAUUUUUUCGUAGUUGCCUGAAAUAUAUAAAAAAAUGUAAUUCAUAAACGUCCGAAAAGUAUAAAAAUCAAGAAAAUGACAUAAAUAUACCUCCAAAAAUUUCUGAAUCGCAUCAUUCAACUUAGCAUAUCAAUAGGAAUAAAAUAUCAAAAUUUCAUAUUUUGACGUGACUGCCCG
Molecule: long non-coding RNA, 202 nt
Filed under: Solanum tuberosum (potato)
Lineage: Eukaryota; Viridiplantae; Streptophyta; Magnoliopsida; Solanales; Solanaceae
Description: long non-coding RNA (STUB_LNC000330)
Source: RNAcentral